This 459-nucleotide ribosomal RNA is filed under the name uncultured bacterium. RNAcentral's name for it is "partial 16S ribosomal RNA". It matches the Rfam family "Bacterial small subunit ribosomal RNA", at positions 338 to 795 of the family's 1533-position model. The record is from RNAcentral.
CCUACGGGUGGCAGCAGUGAGGAAUAUUGGUCAAUGGCCGAGAGGCUGAACCAGCCAAGUCGCGUGAAGGAAGACGGCCCUACGGGUUGUAAACCUCUUUUAUCGGGGAGCAAAGCGAACCACGUGUGGGUCAUUGAGAGUACCCUAAGAAAAAGCAUCGGCUAACUCCGUGCCAGUAGCCGCGGUAAUACGGAGGAUGCGAGCGUUAUCCGGAUUUAUUGGGUUUAAAGGGUGCGUAGGCGGACUGUUAAGUCAGCGGUAAAAGCCCGGGGCUAAACCCCGGGGAGCCGUUGAAACUGGGUGUCUGGAGAUGUGGAGAGGUAGGCGGAAUGCGCAGUGUAGCGGUGAAAUGCUUAGAUAUCGCGAAGAACUCCGAUUGCGAAGGCAGCAUACUGGAGGCGAUCUGACGCUGAGGCACGAAAGCGUGGGUAUCGAACAGGAUUAGAUACCCGUGUAGUC